AAGUCGUAACAAGGUUUCUCUUGCAGAACAACACCUGUAGAAGCCUUGGAUACAAGUCUGCCUACGUAGGCAACAUCUUCACUGUGCUUGGAUACCGUCAGGGUAACAUGCAGCUGCUUACAGCAGUCCACAGAUCAAACGAAGGUGGUCCAAGGGAGGUCCAACCUGUCUUGGAUUUAGAUAUGACCGGCCUACCUCUGAAAAGGUUGUAGACCAGAGUGUUCCGUAGGUGAACCUGCGGAAGGAUCAUUACAGAGAAAUUGCCCUUCGGGGUAGAUCUCCCACCCUUUGUUUACAUUA
Molecule: unclassified non-coding RNA, 300 nt
Filed under: Helotiales sp.
Lineage: Eukaryota; Fungi; Ascomycota; Leotiomycetes; Helotiales
Description: partial contains small subunit ribosomal RNA and internal transcribed spacer 1
Source: RNAcentral